RNAcentral lists this non-coding RNA (619 nucleotides) under Pan troglodytes (chimpanzee). Lineage: Eukaryota; Metazoa; Chordata; Mammalia; Primates; Hominidae. The record is from RNAcentral.
GUUUUUGGCCUUUUCUUUAUAUAUGUGGCCUAGCAAUAUCCUGUGUUUGGAAAAGUAUAAACCUAAGGCAUCACCUUUACAGAAAAUAUCUUCCACGGAAACAUCUAAAGGCAAAAAUCCUUCAAAUUCAAAUUUAUCCAAUCAUUUCUUCUGCUUACUACCAUCCUAAAUCAUUUUUCUUUAGUAAGAUCUAUUAGUGGGAAGCUAUUAAGCUAUUAAUGUAUCAUAUUAAUUGUAUUCAGAUAUUAAGUGAGGAGGUAAAGUUGCAUUCACAGGCCUUGAACUUUUCCACAUCUCGAUUUUUACCCAUCAUCUCUGAAUAGUUCCCUAAGGCAGCCUUCAAAUGGUGAUGUUUCUUAUAAUCCAGAGUUCAGAAGUGGCUUCUCUUCAAUCUUUCUGUGGAAUUCUAAACCAUGUGAUAAAGGAGCUGGUGGCCACAGAUCAGCCCUGGGGUUCAGAGGGAUCCUGACGGCUACUCCUCAAGAUCCUCUCUGUUGUGAUUCAUCCCCCCCGGGCCCUACAGUUUCUCCUUCCUGACUCUUACAUUUCUUUGGAUGGCAUCAUUAUUUUAGGUGCCAAGCACUGUGGAUUCUGCCCCUCAGUGUCCAGACACCCAUUU